GCUCGACCUCAGAUCAGGUAGGAAUACCCGCUGAACUUAAGCAUAUCAAUAAGCGGAGGAAAAGAAACCAACAGGGAUUGCCUCAGUAGCGGCGAGUGAAGCGGCAAGAGCUCAGAUUUGAAAUCUCACCUAGUGUGCGAGUUGUAAAUUGCAGGUUGGAGUCUCGGGUUAGACGUGUGUGCAAGUCCCUUGGAACAGGGCGCCACUGAGGGUGAGAGCCCCGUAUGCGUGCAUGUCGACACCUGUGAGGCCCUUCUGACGAGUCGAGUUGUUG
This 274-nucleotide ribosomal RNA is filed under the name Pichia kluyveri. RNAcentral's name for it is "partial 28S ribosomal RNA". It matches the Rfam family "Eukaryotic large subunit ribosomal RNA", at positions 1 to 275 of the family's 3401-position model. Lineage: Eukaryota; Fungi; Ascomycota; Pichiomycetes; Pichiales; Pichiaceae. The record is from RNAcentral.